GUGCCAGCCGCCGCGGUAAUACGUAGGCAGCAAGCGUUGUUCGGAGUUACUGGGCGUAAAGAGUGCGUAGGUGGUGCUCUAAGUUUGGUGUGAAAUCUCCCGGCUCAACUGGGAGGGUGCGCCGAAAACUGGGGUGCUGGAGUGUGGGAGAGGAAAGCGGAAUUCCUGGUGUAGCGGUGAAAUGCGUAGAUAUCAGGAGGAACACCUGCGGUGUAGACGGCUUUCUGGACCACUACUGACACUGAGGCACGAAAGCGUGGGGAGCAAACAGGAUUAGAUACCCUGGUAGUCC
RNAcentral lists this ribosomal RNA (292 nucleotides) under uncultured bacterium. Its description in RNAcentral is "partial 16S ribosomal RNA". It matches the Rfam family "Bacterial small subunit ribosomal RNA", at positions 505 to 796 of the family's 1533-position model. The record is from RNAcentral.